Molecule: ribosomal RNA, 2506 nt
Filed under: Escherichia coli
Lineage: Bacteria; Pseudomonadati; Pseudomonadota; Gammaproteobacteria; Enterobacterales; Enterobacteriaceae
Description: partial 23S ribosomal RNA
Rfam family: Bacterial large subunit ribosomal RNA
Source: RNAcentral
GUACACAAAAAUGCACAUGCUGUGAGCUCGAUGAGUAGGGCGGGACACGUGGUAUCCUGUCUGAAUAUGGGGGGACCAUCCUCCAAGGCUAAAUACUCCUGACUGACCGAUAGUGAACCAGUACCGUGAGGGAAAGGCGAAAAGAACCCCGGCGAGGGGAGUGAAAAAGAACCUGAAACCGUGUACGUACAAGCAGUGGGAGCACAGAGCAAUCUGUGUGACUGCGUACCUUUUGUAUAAUGGGUCAGCGACUUAUAUUCUGUAGCAAGGUUAACCGAAUAGGGGAGCCGAAGGGAAACCGAGUCUUAACUGGGCGUUAAGUUGCAGGGUAUAGACCCGAAACCCGGUGAUCUAGCCAUGGGCAGGUUGAAGGUUGGGUAACACUAACUGGAGGACCGAACCGACUAAUGUUGAAAAAUUAGCGGAUGACUUGUGGCUGGGGGUGAAAGGCCAAUCAAACCGGGAGAUAGCUGGUUCUCCCCGAAAGCUAUUUAGGUAGCGCCUCGUGAAUUCAUCUCCGGGGGUAGAGCACUGUUUCGGCAAGGGGGUCAUCCCGACUUACCAACCCGAUGCAAACUGCGAAUACCGGAGAAUGUUAUCACGGGAGACACACGGCGGGUGCUAACGUCCGUCGUGAAGAGGGAAACAACCCAGACCGCCAGCUAAGGUCCCAAAGUCAUGGUUAAGUGGGAAACGAUGUGGGAAGGCCCAGACAGCCAGGAUGUUGGCUUAGAAGCAGCCAUCAUUUAAAGAAAGCGUAAUAGCUCACUGGUCGAGUCGGCCUGCGCGGAAGAUGUAACGGGGCUAAACCAUGCACCGAAGCUGCGGCAGCGACACUAUGUGUUGUUGGGUAGGGGAGCGUUCUGUAAGCCUGUGAAGGUGUACUGUGAGGUAUGCUGGAGGUAUCAGAAGUGCGAAUGCUGACAUAAGUAACGAUAAAGCGGGUGAAAAGCCCGCUCGCCGGAAGACCAAGGGUUCCUGUCCAACGUUAAUCGGGGCAGGGUGAGUCGACCCCUAAGGCGAGGCCGAAAGGCGUAGUCGAUGGGAAACAGGUUAAUAUUCCUGUACUUGGUGUUACUGCGAAGGGGGGACGGAGAAGGCUAUGUUGGCCGGGCGACGGUUGUCCCGGUUUAAGCGUGUAGGCUGGUUUUCCAGGCAAAUCCGGAAAAUCAAGGCUGAGGCGUGAUGACGAGGCACUACGGUGCUGAAGCAACAAAUGCCCUGCUUCCAGGAAAAGCCUCUAAGCAUCAGGUAACAUCAAAUCGUACCCCAAACCGACACAGGUGGUCAGGUAGAGAAUACCAAGGCGCUUGAGAGAACUCGGGUGAAGGAACUAGGCAAAAUGGUGCCGUAACUUCGGGAGAAGGCACGCUGAUAUGUAGGUGAAGUCCCUCGCGGAUGGAGCUGAAAUCAGUCGAAGAUACCAGCUGGCUGCAACUGUUUAUUAAAAACACAGCACUGUGCAAACACGAAAGUGGACGUAUACGGUGUGACGCCUGCCCGGUGCCGGAAGGUUAAUUGAUGGGGUCAGCGCAAGCGAAGCUCUUGAUCGAAGCCCCGGUAAACGGCGGCCGUAACUAUAACGGUCCUAAGGUAGCGAAAUUCCUUGUCGGGUAAGUUCCGACCUGCACGAAUGGCGUAAUGAUGGCCAGGCUGUCUCCACCCGAGACUCAGUGAAAUUGAACUCGCUGUGAAGAUGCAGUGUACCCGCGGCAAGACGGAAAGACCCCGUGAACCUUUACUAUAGCUUGACACUGAACAUUGAGCCUUGAUGUGUAGGAUAGGUGGGAGGCUUUGAAGUGUGGACGCCAGUCUGCAUGGAGCCGACCUUGAAAUACCACCCUUUAAUGUUUGAUGUUCUAACGUUGACCCGUGAUCCGGGUUGCGGACAGUGUCUGGUGGGUAGUUUGACUGGGGCGGUCUCCUCCUAAAGAGUAACGGAGGAGCACGAAGGUUGGCUAAUCCUGGUCGGACAUCAGGAGGUUAGUGCAAUGGCAUAAGCCAGCUUGACUGCGAGCGUGACGGCGCGAGCAGGUGCGAAAGCAGGUCAUAGUGAUCCGGUGGUUCUGAAUGGAAGGGCCAUCGCUCAACGGAUAAAAGGUACUCCGGGGAUAACAGGCUGAUACCGCCCAAGAGUUCAUAUCGACGGCGGUGUUUGGCACCUCGAUGUCGGCUCAUCACAUCCUGGGGCUGAAGUAGGUCCCAAGGGUAUGGCUGUUCGCCAUUUAAAGUGGUACGCGAGCUGGGUUUAGAACGUCGUGAGACAGUUCGGUCCCUAUCUGCCGUGGGCGCUGGAGAACUGAGGGGGGCUGCUCCUAGUACGAGAGGACCGGAGUGGACGCAUCACUGGUGUUCGGGUUGUCAUGCCAAUGGCACUGCCCGGUAGCUAAAUGCGGAAGAGAUAAGUGCUGAAAGCAUCUAAGCACGAAACUUGCCCCGAGAUGAGUUCUCCCUGACCCUUUAAGGGUCCUGAAGGAACGUUGAAGACGACGACGUUGAUAGGCCG